CCUACGGGAGGCAGCAGUGGGGAAUUUUGGACAAUGGGCGCAAGCCUGAUCCAGCAAUGCCGCGUGAGUGAAGAAGGCCUUCGGGUUGUAAAGCUCUUUUGUCAGGGAAGAAACGGUGGAGGCUAAUAUCCUUUGCUAAUGACGGUACCUGAAGAAUAAGCACCGGCUAACUACGUGCCAGCAGCCGCGGUAAUACGUAGGGUGCAAGCGUUAAUCGGAAUUACUGGGCGUAAAGCGUGCGCAGGCGGUUUUGUAAGUUUGUCGUGAAAUCCCCGGGCUCAACCUGGGAAUGGCGAUGAAGACUGCAAGGCUAGAAUCUGGCAGAGGGGGGUAGAAUUCCACGUGUAGCAGUGAAAUGCGUAGAGAUGUGGAGGAACACCGAUGGCGAAGGCAGCCCCCUGGGUCAAGAUUGACGCUCAUGCACGAAAGCGUGGGGAGCAAACAGGAUUAGAUACCCUGGUAGUCCACGCCCUAAACGAUGUCUACUAGUUGUCGGGUUUUAAUUAACUUGGUAACGCAGCUAACGCGUGAAGUAGACCGCCUGGGGAUACGGUCGCAAGAUUAAAACNCAAAGGAAUUGACGG
This 584-nucleotide ribosomal RNA is filed under the name uncultured bacterium. Its description in RNAcentral is "bacterial SSU rRNA". It matches the Rfam family "Bacterial small subunit ribosomal RNA", at positions 338 to 916 of the family's 1533-position model. The record is from RNAcentral.